This 212-nucleotide unclassified non-coding RNA is filed under the name Hevea brasiliensis (rubber tree). Lineage: Eukaryota; Viridiplantae; Streptophyta; Magnoliopsida; Malpighiales; Euphorbiaceae. The record is from RNAcentral.
GGAACAGCGAACUCUGCAUUCUAGAUUCAAGCUUCCAAUGAUUGGAGACAUUGUAUCCACUGAGAAACAACCUACUCUUUGUCACUGCAACAAUAAAUACAAUUUAUUUGCUUCAAACUUCAACCAAUUGUCUCUAUGCUUUUCUCCUCGUGUGUACUACGAGGAAAUGUUUUAUGAUCAAUAGCUUCUGGUUUGGUGCAGUGGAUCAUAGU